CACGUAGGGGGCAAGCGUUGUCCGGAUUUAUUGGGCGUAAAGAGCGUGUAGGCGGUUGGGUAGGUCCGUUGUGAAAACUCGAGGCUCAACCUCGAGACGCCGAUGGAAACGCCCCAGCUAGAGUCCGGAAGAGGAGAGUGGAAUUCCUGGUGUAGCGGUGAAAUGCGCAGAUAUCAGGAAGAACACCCGUGGCUAAGGCGGCUCUCUAGUACGGUACUGACGCUGAGACGCGAAAGCGUGGGGAGCGAACAGG
This 253-nucleotide ribosomal RNA is filed under the name uncultured bacterium. Its description in RNAcentral is "partial 16S ribosomal RNA". It matches the Rfam family "Bacterial small subunit ribosomal RNA", at positions 524 to 776 of the family's 1533-position model. The record is from RNAcentral.